CCUACGGGGGGCAGCAGUGGGGAAUAUUGCACAAUGGGGGAAACCCUGAUGCAGCGACGCCGCGUGAGUGAAGAAGUAAUUCGUUAUGUAAAGCUCUAUCAGCAGGGAAGAAAAUGACGGUACCUGAGUAAGACGCCCCGGCUAACUACGUUCCAGCAGCCGCGGUAAUACGUAGGGGGCAAGCGUUAUCCGGAUUUACUGGGUGGAAAGGGAGCGUAGACGGCAGUGCAAGUCUGGAGGGAAAGGCGGGGGCUCAACCCCCGGACUGCUCUGGAAACUGUACGGCUGGAGUGCAGGAGAGGUAAGUGGAAUUCCUAGUGUAGCGGUGAAAUGCGUAGAUAUUAGGAGGAACACCAGUGGCGAAGGCGGCUUACUGGACUGUAACUGACGUUGAGGCUCGAAAGCGUGGGGAGCAAACAGGAUUAGAUACCCUUGUAGUC
RNAcentral lists this ribosomal RNA (440 nucleotides) under uncultured bacterium. RNAcentral describes it as "partial 16S ribosomal RNA". It matches the Rfam family "Bacterial small subunit ribosomal RNA", at positions 338 to 795 of the family's 1533-position model. The record is from RNAcentral.